AUUGAACGCUGGCGGCAGGCCUAACACAUGCAAGUCGAACGAGUGGCGGACGGGUGAGUAAUGUCUGGGAAACUGCCUGAUGGAGGGGGAUCACUACUGGAAACGGUAGCUAAUACCGCAUACCAUCGGAUGUGCCCAGAUGGGAUUAGCUAGUAGGUGGGGUAAAGGCUCACCUAGGCGACGAUCCCUAGCUGGUCUGAGAGGAUGACAAGGAAAACGGGAACGGAGACACGGUCAAGACUACGACGGGAGGCAGCAGUGGGGAAUAUGGGACAAUGGGAGAAAGCCUGAGGAAGCAAGGCCGCGGGUAUGAAGAAGGCCUGCGGGUUGUAAAGGACUUUCAGCGGGGAGGCGUUACCCGAAGAAGAAGCACCGGCUAACAACGUGCCAGCAGCCGCGGUAAUUC
Molecule: ribosomal RNA, 406 nt
Filed under: uncultured bacterium
Lineage: Bacteria
Description: partial 16S ribosomal RNA
Rfam family: Bacterial small subunit ribosomal RNA
Source: RNAcentral